RNAcentral lists this ribosomal RNA (489 nucleotides) under uncultured bacterium. Its description in RNAcentral is "bacterial SSU rRNA". It matches the Rfam family "Bacterial small subunit ribosomal RNA", at positions 28 to 507 of the family's 1533-position model. The record is from RNAcentral.
GAUAAACGCUGGCGGCGUGCCUAAUACAUGCAAGUCGAUCGAUGGAUGCCCAGCUUGCUAGGGAGGAAAGUAGAGGCGAACGGGUGAGUAAUACGUAAGCAACCUGCCCACGAAGACCGGGAUAAUCCCUGGAAACGGGGACUAAGACCGGAUAGGUAACAGAACCGCAUGAUUCUGUUAUUAAAGGUUAAAAACACUGGUGGAUGGGCUUACGGUGCAUUAGCUGGUUGGUGAGGUAACGGCCCACCAAGGCGAUGAUGCAUAGCUGGUCUGAGAGGAUGAACAGCCACAUUGGGACUGAGACACGGCCCAGACUCCUACGGGAGGCAGCAGUAGGGAAUUUUCGGCAAUGGGGGGAAACCCUGACCGAGCAACGCCGCGUGAGUGAAGAAGGUCUUCGGAUUGUAAAGCUCUGUUGUAAGGGAAGAAAUGUACUGUGAGAAACAGUACUUGACGGUACCUUACCAGAAAGCUACGGCUAACUACGUG